AAGUUGUGUCCGCAGGGUGUGGAGACGGGCUCGUCGAACAGAUCCAGGCAGAUGGAGCAGGUUAACUCCUGCUCUGAGAACAGAUCCGGAGCCGCUGCCUCCGCCAUCGUCAUGCUGCUGCUGGGGAAGACACAGCUGAGUAGUACCUGUGGAUGUAAUAGAUUACUUUUAACUGAAGAACACUUAAACAGCUGCAGCUCGUCGCUUCUGAACACAAACUUUGUUCUCACGCAGAAAUAAAAACAUGAAUCUGAAGUUUGGUGACGUCAUCGAGGAUCCUGCAGGUAAAACUGGAGCAGAGAUCCAGUCCGACCACAUUCCACUGAGUCAGAACUGAACUCCAACACACAAACUGACUCAACUGAGACAGAAAUAACAAACAGCAGCCAUCAACGCACACACACAGGUGUGACCAGGAGGACAGGGGGCGUGGCCAACUCACCUGUAUGUCAGGUGUGUUCAGUGUUACCUGUUCUCCUCCAGGAACAGGAGAUUUUUAACAUUCAUGCAAACGGAGGAUCGAAACGAACGAA
Acanthopagrus latus (yellowfin seabream) is the source of this 533-nucleotide long non-coding RNA. RefSeq lists it as uncharacterized. NCBI's taxonomy places the organism in Eukaryota, Metazoa, Chordata, Actinopteri, Spariformes, Sparidae. The transcript has 3 exons. The record is from RefSeq and is a predicted model, not a curated record.